UACGUAGGUCCCGAGCGUUGUCCGGAUUUAUUGGGCGUAAAGCGAGCGCAGGUGGUUUAUUAAGUCUGGUGUAAAAGGCAGUGGCUCAACCAUUGUAUGCAUUGGAAACUGGUAGACUUGAGUGAAGUAGAGGUUGGCGGAAUUCCGAGUGUAGCGGUGAAAUGCGUAGAUAUUCGGAGGAACACCGGUGGCGAAGGCGGCCAACUGGGCUUUAACUGACGCUGAGGCUCGAAAGUGUGGGGAGCAAACAGG
Molecule: ribosomal RNA, 252 nt
Filed under: uncultured bacterium
Lineage: Bacteria
Description: partial 16S ribosomal RNA
Rfam family: Bacterial small subunit ribosomal RNA
Source: RNAcentral